Molecule: ribosomal RNA, 280 nt
Filed under: uncultured bacterium
Lineage: Bacteria
Description: partial 16S ribosomal RNA
Rfam family: Bacterial small subunit ribosomal RNA
Source: RNAcentral
CACCUACGGGGCGCAGCAGUGGGGGACAUUGGACAAUGGGGGGAACCCUGAUCCAGCGACGCCGCGUGAGUGAAGAAGUAUUUCGGUAUGUAAAGCUCUGUCAGCAGGGAAGAAAGAAAUGACGGUACCUGACCAAGAAGCCCCGGCUAACUACGUGCCAGCAGCCGCGGUAAUACGUAGGGGGCAAGCGUUAUCCGGAUUUACUGGGUGUAAAGGGAGCGUAGACGGCAGUGCAAGUCUGGAGUGAAAGGCGGGGGCUCAACCCCCGGACUGCUCUGGA